GAUGAACGCUGGCGGCGUGCCUAAUACAUGCGAGUCGAGCGAACAGACGAGGAGCUUGCUCCUCUGACGUUAGCGGCGGACGGGUGAGUAACACGUGGAUAACCUACCUAUAAGACUGGGAUAACUUCGGGAAACCGGAGCUAAUACCGGAUAAUAUAUUGAACCGCAUGGUUCAAUAGUGAAAGACGGUUUUGCUGUCACUUAUAGAUGGAUCCGCGCCGCAUUAGCUAGUUGGUAAGGUAACGGCUUACCAAGGCGACGAUGCGUAGCCGACCUGAGAGGGUGAUCGGCCACACUGGAACUGAGACACGGUCCAGACUCCUACGGGAGGCAGCAGUAGGGAAUCUUCCGCAAUGGGCGAAAGCCUGACGGAGCAACGCCGCGUGAGUGAUGAAGGUCUUCGGAUCGUAAAACUCUGUUAUUAGGGAAGAACAAAUGUGUAAGUAACUAUGCACGUCUUGACGGUACCCAAUCAGAAAGCCACGGCUAACUACGUG
This 497-nucleotide ribosomal RNA is filed under the name uncultured bacterium. Its description in RNAcentral is "partial 16S ribosomal RNA". It matches the Rfam family "Bacterial small subunit ribosomal RNA", at positions 28 to 507 of the family's 1533-position model. The record is from RNAcentral.